Molecule: long non-coding RNA, 1522 nt
Organism: Spinacia oleracea (spinach)
Lineage: Eukaryota; Viridiplantae; Streptophyta; Magnoliopsida; Caryophyllales; Amaranthaceae
Exons: 3
Source: RefSeq, a predicted model, not a curated record
UCACCAUGUCAAUAAUAUGUAUAUAUUGCACUUCAAUUUCAGUCAUCUUAAAACCAUUUUCAACGUUCUAUCUUAUUAAUUCAAGUUGGGUAAUUUCCCAUUAUUUUCUUCCUCUUUUCGUGAGCUAUAAAUGCCAUAGCCAAGCCAUAAAAGCUUCUUGCACUUCUAAAAUUACCCAUGAGCACCGUCCAUUUAAAACCCAUAAAUUGUAAAACCCGAAACCCGAUUCGCUCAUUUUCUCCCUCCUUUAUCUGCGAUUUUUGCGGCAGCCAUGGCCUGAUGUUGCCACUACCUUAUUUCUCGGCCACCUUGUACCACAGGAGCUCCUCCGCACCGGUGUUGCUUCGCCACUUUGUUUUUCUCAGUCGGAUUGGUGAAGCUAUUGUUUCCUCUGUUCUUCGCUGCCCAGUACGGAGUAUCUCGUUGUUACUGCUUGUGUGUUCCUCUUUUAUGUGAAUUGACCAAAAGUACAAAGAAAAAGGGUUUCUAAUUGGUAGUGGACCAUGACUCAUGAGUUUAAGGAGCAAAUAUAAAUUGGGCUUUAAUUUGCUUAUGUGAUGGAGUAUAUAUUAUUAAGGGCUUUUGCUUGUUUGACCGGAAGUUAAGGGGAAAGACAAAAAGGGGUAAGCAAUUAAUUAAAUAAGGGUUGUUUACAUAAUGUGUAAUAAUUAUUAAUUAUUAAUUCCUAUGUUUAUUUAUUGUUGAGGUUAUGGUUAUGCAAAUUAAGGAGUAAAGGUUGAUUGUCAAGGAGUAUGUUACGAAUUGAGAGUUGAGUUAAGCAAUACAGAUUAUUGAUUGAGGUUCGAUUAAGGAGCUCAAGUUGCUCAAACGAGAGUUAUUACUGGAGUUGGUUAUUUAUUAUGGAGAUAUCGAGAUGAGAAAUUAUUUAUUAUGGAAAUCCUGUUAUUGAGGUCCCAGGAUUAAUUAAGCCUAAUUCCGCUGCAAGUGAUCCGCUAAUUAAGGUGCGGAAAAGUCGGGGCGUUACACUCUUGACCAUGUCACAAAUAUCGUUGCCCGUUUCCAACGAAAGCCAUUCUUGCAUUGUAGGAUCAGACACCACCUCCUCCUCCUCCUCCUCCUCCACUUGAGGACUGGCAUCCAGAAAUAUAAUUCUCCUUUCAAACUAUUCUGGUCCGCAAUCCACUCCCCGUUGUCUUUCUUAAUGGCGCCAAUGAAGUUAUGGGCCUUUCUUUCCUUGACGGUUUUGAAGAAGAACGAGGUUACCUGAUCACCCAUUGCAUCCAAUAUUGAUUUUGACAUGCUUUUUACAUCUCUCGUCGGACCGCCAACGCGAACACAGUGGUCGGGAAAACUCAAACGCCAAUCAUCAUUACAAUAUGCUCGAUCUAAGAGCUCAAAGAUUGUUUCUUCAUCAUCUCAAGGGCCGGGUAGCGUAUACAUGGACGAGCAUGUAUUUGUGAUUCGUGAAUACCGCAAAUUACAUUGUAUUUUCGUAAUUAUAUCGGUAACAACAUUAUUAAAAAUAGUGGAAAUAAAAAGAAAACAGAAUAAUUGAAUAAAA